RNAcentral lists this RNase P RNA (375 nucleotides) under Mycolicibacterium brumae. RNAcentral's name for it is "Mycobacterium brumae Bacterial RNase P class A". It matches the Rfam family "Bacterial RNase P class A". From Rfam's summary of the family: Ribonuclease P (RNase P) is a ubiquitous endoribonuclease, found in archaea, bacteria and eukarya as well as chloroplasts and mitochondria. The record is from Rfam by way of RNAcentral. Lineage: Bacteria; Bacillati; Actinomycetota; Actinomycetes; Mycobacteriales; Mycobacteriaceae.
CGAGUUGGCUGGGCGGCCGCGGAGAAAUUCGAGGAAAGUCCGGACUUCACAGAGCAGGGUGAUUGCUAACGGCAAUCCGAGGUGACUCGCGGGACAGUGCCACAGAAAACAGACCGCCGCCUGGGCCUUCGGCUCAGGGGGUAAGGGUGAAACGGUGCGGUAAGAGCGCACCAGCAUCCCGGGUGACCGGGAUGGCUCGGCAAACCCCACCCGAAGCAAGGUCAAGAGGUCGCUUUGCGACUGCGCAGGCGGGUUGCUCGCCCACACCUGCGGGUAGGCCGCUUGAGGCGCCCGGUGACGGUGCGUCCAGAUGGAUGGUCGCCGCCGCGCCUUCGGGCGCGGACACAGAAUCCGGCUUACAGGCCAGCUCGUUCG